UUCUUAUCCAGAAAGACCGAGGGACUUGACCCGAUGACGUCUUGGCAACCUCCGCUUAGCGGGAAGGUGCCACCUUCAACCAUUCACCUGUGGCGAAUGGAAAGAUAAGUU
This 111-nucleotide non-coding RNA is filed under the name Niabella ginsenosidivorans. Its description in RNAcentral is "SAM riboswitch aptamer (S box leader)". It matches the Rfam family "SAM riboswitch aptamer (S box leader)". From Rfam's summary of the family: The SAM riboswitch is found upstream of a number of genes which code for proteins involved in methionine or cysteine biosynthesis in Gram-positive bacteria. The SAM riboswitch acts at the level of transcription termination control. The predicted structure consists of a complex stem-loop region followed by a single stem loop terminator region. Lineage: Bacteria; Pseudomonadati; Bacteroidota; Chitinophagia; Chitinophagales; Chitinophagaceae. RNAcentral also lists the same sequence under 1 other name. The record is from Rfam by way of RNAcentral.